Molecule: RNA transcript, 3106 nt
Organism: Capsicum annuum
Lineage: Eukaryota; Viridiplantae; Streptophyta; Magnoliopsida; Solanales; Solanaceae
Gene name: probable LL-diaminopimelate aminotransferase, chloroplastic
Exons: 5
Source: RefSeq, a predicted model, not a curated record
UGAGAAAAGGCGAAUAAUUUAAAAACACAGAAAAAAAUGAAUUAGGAAAGUCAAGUCUGAACUCCAGAAGCUUCUUUUUCUUCUCUCUCUUUUCUCAAACGUUUUCUUUCUAUUUGGAAGAUGAACAAGUAGGAAGAGGAAGAGGAAGCAGCAGAUUCUUGGGCUACUACUUCAUUACUUCUAUGUCCCCCAGAUUCAAAGGUCACACUUACAUCGAAUUUACAGUGAACCCUUGGCAUAGAAUCAGACAACACAAUAGAGAGGUGAAGAUGGGUGCUUGGAGGACAGAAACGUUCCUGGGAGAUGAUCAUCAAGUUUCGCUUCGAGAUUGUUGAAUUUGAGGUAUGGGAUAGUAAUAGAAGCAAAAACUGGAUGUUCUUGCAACCAGGUUAUCUAAUGUUUCUCAGUGGCAGAAAAAGAUUAGGGGAUCUGUAGAUGGAAGGAGUUGUAGACUUUAAGACAGUGAUUAGCUGAUAAAUUGGAUAUAAAAGGACAAAAUAUAUUAUUUUGUUCAGAAAAGAAAUCUUCAUUCGUGUAGCUCAAAGAUCUUCAAAAGGAUCCUCCUACUUCUUGUAGCGCUGUUACGGCAGGUUUGAAGAGAGGAAGAGUAAACAGAAGAAUUCGGGAGAGGUGAUUGACCCUAGAUGAAAAGAUAUGGAGAUCAAGGAUUAGGAUAGAAGGUUAGUAAGUAGUUGAUCAUUGUUCAGUUCUCUUAAAAUUGAAGCCGUGCUUAGCGGUCAAGUAGGUUCUUCCGUGGAAAAUGUGUUUCGAGUCUUUAGGAAUCACAAUUUUUAGGUAUUUUACUUGUCGAUUAAAAAAAUUGGGAGCCACAACAAAUCAAUACCCAUGGAGAUGGAGACGGAUGCCAAUAGACAGGAAGAAUUUAAUAAUUGUGCAUUGGGUAUACAUUACGAAGUACUUAGAAAAAUAACUUCUGCAAUCAUGAUAUUUAGAACUAAAAUCGUUUUUCCUUUGCAUUAUUCUUUCUCAUCGUCGAUUCCUUUUCUUCCAUUUAAAUUUCUUUUUUAUUCUACUCCGCAAUUGUAUAGUGUACAUAUUUUGAAUGGUUUUAGAACUUGAGGGAUGAUUGUGGUUGAAGAGAUCAUCUUUGAGAUUUUAUUGUAGCACAUUUAGAUUUGGCGAUCACCAUAAUAUUAGGGAAUAUGUUUAAAAAUUCUACUAUCAUGUCUAAUGACCGUCCAAGUAUUUGGCAAAAGGUGUGGAGAAUUAAAUAUAUACUCAUGAUAGCUAACAUUUAACCUCUGUGCACUAUAUAAUUUUUUGGUGAAAGGUGUGCAUCAGACCACCCUUUGCCUAAGGUGGCUCCGGCCAUGGCCAUGUCAUGUGAUGCUAGUGUGAUCUAGCUGCCACAAAAUUCCUGUCUUUAUUUUUUCUUGCAUCAAUAUUUUGUUUAUGUCUUUAUGCUAGUUUAAUAGACACAUCAAUGGCUGCAUUUUCUGUCACUCGAAUGGAAGUUAUGAUGUAUGUUCUGUUUUUUAGAAGUGGCUUGGUAACAACAUAACUGAAUCGAAUUAGGAGGGGAUUGAAAAGUUUUACAAAAACAGCGAUACAGUGAAAGAAUGCAUAGCUCUCUGUUGGCAAAAAUUGAAAAUGGAAUCGCGUUACUUUUACUGAUGUCCAAUCUUGUGAAGUAGUUUAUUCAGCAUGUAUUUCUUCUUCUAUAUGCAUUGAUGCAUCAAUAGUAUGUGCUGCAUUAUGAACUGGAGUGUUUGUUUAGCAUUUAUUCGUGCAGGGACUUUUAUAUGUGAAUCUGGAACUCUGUUAUGCAGAUUGGCUGUUAUGUAUUCCUUAGGAUGUGCCCGUCUAUAAAAGAGCAUUUCCUUCUUCCCUUGUCGUUAUCCAGUGUUCCUUGGAUAGACAUUAGAUUUUUCUAUUCGCUUAAUAAUCUAACUAGUGCGGCGACAUCAAGGGAGCAGAUGACUAAAUUGGUGCAGUUUGCUAAAGACAAUGGCUCAAUUAUUGUUUAUGAUUCUGCAUAUGAUAUGUAUAUAUGUGAUGACAGUCCGAAGUCCAUCUUUGAGAUUUCUGGAGCCAAAGAGGUAAGUUCAGAUCAUGUUAUUUGGUUAACGAUGAUUAUUUUCUGGUGGAAGUUUCACCUAUCAUUUGGUUAAACUUUGUAGCAUGUAACAGUAGAUGACAAACCCAUAUUGUCUGUGUAUUACUUUUUUAGCUGUUACUUAUCAGUACAUUGCUUACUAUAAUGAUCAAUCUUCUUCCAUUUUUCUUUAAAUCCCAUUACAACUAUACCUCAAUUUCAAGUUCAAGUUACUUAGUGCCUAUUUGGCCAUGAGAGUUUUUUUACUUUUUUUCGGAAAAAUUUAUUCACUUUAUUCCAGACAAAUUUACCUGUUGCUGGUUCUUUGUACUAUACUUCUUUUGAUCAAUCUCAGAUAUUGGCUUAGUGUUAUGUAGUUCCUUUACCUUAGUGAUUGUUGUUUACUUAUUACAGUUAGUGAUUCUUUUCAUUUGUCCUAGCCUUGGUGGACAGAGUUACUUGAUAUCUGUUGUUGGUAGGAGAUGAUAGAUAUCCCAUGAAUUUAGGUGAGGUGCGCGAAAGCUGGCCUAAACACCACGGUUAUCAAAAGAAAAAAUGAAAUGGCAGGAGCAGUAAUUUGUACUUUCUACUGGUUGUGAUCAAUAUUAAACCUUAUCAUGUUCACUGUUUUUCCAUUUACUGGGGAUGACAAAAUUUGCUGAUCAGCAUCUAAGUAUUGUGGCACAGGUAGUAUCUGGUCCUGAAUCUAACACAGCAAAGGACGACACAGAGAAUGGCGUGGGAAAAUCUGAUACAUACAGUCAUGACAAGACUGCUGCUAUGGGAGCUGUUAUACACUAUUGUGUAAAAUUUUGAGGUUGCACUGUUCCUAAAAUACAAGCAACCUCCUAGAAGACCUCCAAAGAAAGAUUGCGGAAAAUUAGAAAGAAAUAUGUUUAAAAAGAAAAUCAUCUAACUCAUGUAGCGUUUGGACACAAUAGACGUUUGUGUAGAAAAUAUUGUAAAUGAUACAUUAGUUGUGAUGUUGUAAUCGUAAAUUUAACAUUUGUUGUGAUGUUAUAUUCAUUAAAGAUAUUUUUUCGAAUGUCA